GUGCUCACCUCAGCAGCACAAACACUAAAGUUGAAAUGAUACACAGAAGAUUAGCAUGGCCCUACACAAGCAUGACAUGCAAAUUCAUGAACUGUUCCAUAUUUUA
Molecule: small nuclear RNA, 106 nt
Organism: Lemur catta (Ring-tailed lemur)
Lineage: Eukaryota; Metazoa; Chordata; Mammalia; Primates; Lemuridae
Source: RefSeq, a predicted model, not a curated record